This is a non-coding RNA of Trachemys scripta elegans, 687 nucleotides long. NCBI's taxonomy places the organism in Eukaryota, Metazoa, Chordata, Testudines, Emydidae. The record is from the annotation of a RefSeq genome assembly.
GCACCCGGAGAUACAAUCCGCAGCCCCCCAGGUCUGUGCAGUUACCAGCCAGUCCCCUGAGAACUUUCCCCUCCAGCACCCGGGAAAAUGGGAUUUUUGCUCCUUGUAAUUUUCACUGUAGCAGCUUUGGAAGGUGUCCGGUCCCAAGCGCUGGUGGAGUCUGGAGGGGAUGUGAAAAAGCCUGGAGACUCUCUCCGCCUCUCCUGCAAAGCCUCCGGGUUCACCUUCAGCAGCUACCAUAUGCACUGGGUCCGACAGGCUCCCGGGAAGGGUCUAGGAUGGGUCGCUUAUAUAAGGUCCGAUGGGGGUGAUAUGCAGUACCUUGAUUCUGUCAAAGGCCGAUUCAUCAUCUCCAGGGAUAAUUCCAAGAGUGAGCUGUAUCUGCAAAUGACCAGCCUGAGACCCGAGGACACCGGCCGCUAUUACUGUGCGAGAGACACAGUGAAAGGAAACCGAUUUGUGAUCAUACAAAAACCCAGGCUGCGGAAUCGCCCUUCUCCUGGCAGCCGCGCGGGGGCAGAAGUGACACACACACCGCUCCGGGCUCAGACAGGAGACCCAGCAACCAGGCAGCACCCGGAGACACAGUCCACAACCCCCUGGCUCUGUGCAGUGACCAACCAAUCCUCCUGAGAAACUUCCCCUUCAGCAUCAGGGAAAUCAGACUUUGGCUCCAUUUGGUUUUCA